This is a long non-coding RNA of Amborella trichopoda, 715 nucleotides long. RefSeq lists it as uncharacterized. NCBI's taxonomy places the organism in Eukaryota, Viridiplantae, Streptophyta, Magnoliopsida, Amborellales, Amborellaceae. The record is from RefSeq and is a predicted model, not a curated record.
GCUGGCAAGACAAGCUCUCCUUGCCAACUGUGCAAGCAAGCAAUGAAGCUAUAGCGAACCGAGCCUAUACUAUCAACAUGCCGUCGAGAAAUCCCUGGACUCGGGCAAAUACCCUGAGUUUAGAAACCGUAUGGACAAAGAAUCGUACUAGUUGGCCCUUUCAAUCUUCAACUGAAAAAGCUGUCAUUUACGCCUUCGGAACGUCGAUUUUAACAUGUUUGCAUUGGUUAUACAUCAGAAUGUUUUGUUUUCCUUCCUUUUUUAAGCACUGGAAGGCGGCGUUCUCGCUUUUACGACCACUAGCAUAUCCCAUGCAUGUCAUGUACAGGAGUUCUAAAUGACGCAUCACACUGGCGACAUGAUGGGUGCUGGAAUUUGCAUGCAUAUUGAGCUCAUUUUAGUUUUGGAUGGACUUAUAUUGAGGAUGCACAUUUGCUUCCAUCGUAGGUAAACCAUCCACUAGGAAACUUGUCUGUUUGUUUCUGAUGAUUCUACGUAUAUCUUUAUUUCUUGGAAAUGUAAAUCCCCUCUUUCAUUUUUUCCCUUGUCAUUUCAUUUACUCCUUUCAUUUGAUAUGUGCUUUUUCUUCUUUGCUUGACUAUAAUUGUAAUGGUUAAUCUAUUAUUGCAUUAUUGCUAUCAAUAUGUUCUUUGUAUAUAUCUUCUUGGGUCAUAUACAAAGGAGACCACAACUAUAAUGUGGAUAUUCUUCAAUA